This is a long non-coding RNA of Nerophis ophidion (straightnose pipefish), 6249 nucleotides long. RefSeq lists it as uncharacterized. The record is from RefSeq and is a predicted model, not a curated record. The transcript is spliced from 2 exons. Lineage: Eukaryota; Metazoa; Chordata; Actinopteri; Syngnathiformes; Syngnathidae.
UACACAUACACAAAAAAAAUGGGUAUUUCUGUCUGUCAUUCCGCGCUACAUUUUUUUUCCUUUUACGGAAGGUUUUUUGUAGAGAAUAAAUGAAAAAACACGUAAUUGAACGGUUUAAAAGAGGAGAAAACACGAAAAAAUAAAAAUUUGAAACAUAGUUUAUCUUUGAUUUCGACUCUUUAAAAUUCAAAAUUCAACCAAAAAAAAAUGAAGAAAACAACUAGCUAAUACGAAUCUUUUUGAAAAAAAAAAAAAAGAAUUUACGCAACAACUGUUGUGUCUUGAGAUUGGAUCCCAAGACGCAGAGACGGGAGGCGGAGUUGAAUCACAAAAGAAGAUUGUCUUUAAUAAGUUCAAAAGGAUAACUCAAGGCAAUGGGGCAAGAGCGCACACCAUGGAAGGGGACUAAACUGAAGGAGGACUCUCGAUGGUCAGCAACAGGUUCAACAAAAACUUCUCUCGCUUACUGGGGAACUAGGGAACAAAAACACCAGAUGUAAGGAAUGGUGAUAAGAAAGGAGAAGGAAGGUACCGAGUUGGUUGGAUGCAAGUUGAGCAUGCGGGCAUGGAAAGCACAGGAGUCAUGAACUGUAGUGAACUUAAAUAGAGCCGAGCAGUGAGUAGUCGCAGGUGUGCCGAGUUGGAACUAAUGGAUGGAGGAAAAAUAACACAAAAGCAAUACGGAGAAGACAGGAAAACAAUACACAACUACAACGUUAGUAAUUUUUCCUGAUUAAGAUUCAUUUUAGAAUUUCGAUGACAUGUUUUAAAUAGGUUAAAAUCCACUUUGAAAUAAAAUUGAAAUUUGAUUCUACAGAUUUUCUAGAUUUGGCAGAAUAAAUUUGGGGAAUUUUAAUCAUAAUAAGUUUGAAGAAAUAUUUCACAAAUAUUCUUCGUCGAAAAAACAGAAUAUAAAUGAAGAAUUAAAUUAAAAUGUAUUUAUUCUUUACAAUAAAAAAAAAAUACUUGAACAUUGAUUUAAAGACCUACUGAAAUGAGAUGUUUUUAUUUAAACGGGGAUAGCAGCUCCAUUCUAUGUGUCAUACUUCAUCAUUUCCCCAUAUUGCCAUAUUUUUGCUGAAAGGAUUUAGUAGAGAACAUCCACGAUAAAGUUUGCAACUUUUGGUCACUAAUAAAAAAGGCUUGCCUGUACCGGAAGUCGCAGACAAUGAUGUCACAUGUUUGAUGGCUCCUCACAUAGUCACAUUGUUUUUAAUGGGAGCCUCCAACAAAAAGUGCUAUUUGGACCAAUUUCCCCAUUAAUUUGAGCGAGGAUGAAAGAUUUGUGUUUGAGGAUAUUGAUACGACGGACUAGAAAAAAAAAAAAAAAAAAAACGUGAUUGCAUUGGGACAGAUUCAUAUGUUUUUAGACACAUUUACUAGGAUAAUUCUGGGAAAUCCCUUAUCUUUCUAUUGUGUUGCUAGUGUUUUAGUGAGUUUAAUAGUACCUGAUAGUCAGAAGGAUUUCUCCAUGGGUGUGUUGACGCCAAUGUCUCAGAGGAGUCGACGGCAGCUAUGGACGGCACAAGCUCAGCUGAUCUCCGGGAAGAACUGACACUUUAACACAAUUUUCUCACCGAAACCUGCUGGUUGACAUUCGGUCAGGAUCCAUGUUCGCUUGACAGCUCUGAUCCAUAGUAAAGUUUCCCCUCCGGGAAUUUUAAACAAGAAAUCACUGUGUGUUUGUGUGACUAAAGGCUAAAGCUUCCCAACUCCAUCGUUCUACUUUGACUUCUCCAAUAUUAAUUGAACAAAUUGCAAAAGAUUCAGCAACACAGAUCUCCAAAAUACUGUAUAAUCAUGCCGUUAAAGGGGAACAUCAUCAGCAGACCUAUGUAAGCGUCAAUAUAUACCUUGAUGUUGCAGAAAAAAGACCAUGUAUUUUUUUAACCGAUUUCUGAACUCUAAAUGGGCGAAUUUUGGCAAAUUAAACGCCUUUCUGUUUAUCGCUCUUUUAGCGAUGACGUCAGAACGUGACGUCACCGAGGUAACACACCCACCAUUUUCAUUUUCUACACAUUACAAACACUGAGUCUCAGCUCUGUUAUUUUCCGUUUUUUUGACCAUUUUUUGGAACCUUGGAGACAUCAUGCCUCGUGGGUGUGUUGUCGGAGGGUGUAACAACACUAACAGGGAGGGAUUCAAGUUGCACCACUGGCAAGAAAUCUGCCGCCAGACCCCCAUUGAAUGUGCCAGAGUGUCUCCACAUUUGACCGGCGAUGCUAAGACAGACAUGGCACAGAGAUGUAUGGAUAACCUGCAGAUGCAUUUGCAACCAUUAAGUCAACAAAAUCACAAAGGUGAGUUUUGUUGAUGUUGUUGACUUAUGUGCCAAUCAGACAUAUUUGGUCAUGGCAUGACUGCCAGCUAAUCGAUGCUAACAUGCUACGCUAAUUGAUGCUAACAUGCUAUUUACGCUAGCUGUUUGUACAUUUGAAACUAGAUACCCACAUUUAAUGCGAAACAAACACUUACCAAUCGACGGAUUUAAGUUGCUCCAGUGUCACAAGAUGCGAAAGUCCUGAUCGUUUGGUCCGCACAUUUUACCGGCGAUGCUAAUAAGGCAGCCAUGCUAUGGGUCACUUCAUUAGGUACACCCACGCUAUGGUCGAAUAGCGUCAAUAGCUAUUCGCUCAAUAGCUUCAAUUUCUUCUUUAAUUUUGUUUUCGCUAUCUGCCUCCAUACUCCGACCAUCUGUUUCAAUACAUGCGUAAUCUGUUGAAUCGCUUAAGCCGCUGAAAUCCGAGUCUGAAUCCGAGCUAAUGUCGCUAUAUCUUGCUGUGGUAACCGCCAUGUUGUUUGUAUUGGCAGCACUGUGUGACGUCACAGGGAAAUGGACAGUCACAUCGCAAAUAGCGAAAAUCAAGAACUUUAAAGCUUUUUUUAGGGAUAUUCCGGGAGGUGUAAAAUUGUGAAAAAAAAUUAGAAAAAUAAAACAAGCCACUGGGAACUGAUUUUUAUUUUGUUUAACCCUUCUGAAAUUGUGAUAAUGUUCCCCUUUAAAGCAAACGACUUUUGGCUGCGUGUGUGCGCAGCGCUAAUAUUUCCUAACAGUCCGCGACGUUUUCAACAGGGCACUUCGCGGGAAAUUUAAAAAUGCAAUUUAGUGAACUAAAAAGGCGUAUUGUCAUGUGUUGCAAUGUUAAUAUUUCAUCAUUGAUAUAUAAACUAUCAGACUGCGUGGUCGCUAGUAGUGGCUUUCAGUAGGCCUUUAAAAUGUCAGGAAAGAAUAGGAAGGAAUUUAAAAGGUAAAAAAGGUAUAUAUGUUUAAAAAUCCCUAAAUCAUUUUUAAGGUUGUAAUUUUUCUCUAAAAUUGUCUGAAAGUUAUAAGAAGCAAAGUAAAAAUGUAAUGAAUUUAUUUAAACAAGUAAAGACCAAGUCUUUAAAAUAUUUUCUUGGAUUUUAAAAUUCUAUUUGAGUUUUGUCUCUCUUAGAAUUAAAAAUGUCGAGCAAAGCGAGACCAGCUUGCUAGUAAAUAAAUACAAUUUAAAAAAUAGAGGCAGCUCACUGGUAAGUGCUGCUAUUUGAGCUAUUUUUAGAACAGGCCAGAGGGCGACUCAUCUGGUCCUUACGGGCGACCUGGUGCCAGCGGGCACCGUGUUGGUGACCCCUGGUUUAAACGGUAACUGGAAUACAUUGUGUGGCAUAGAGUUUCUCCAAAUAUAUCCACGCGAUAAGACUUUUACCAAACAAUUUUACCCAAAAAUGUUGCCAAAGUUUUAUGUCUGGGAAGACGUAAUUGAAUUUACAUGAUAUCUUAAAUUAAAAACAUGUUCAAAGACUUUCAACAACAUUUUUACCCAAAAUUUUCCACCAAAGUUGUCAGUCAUGAUCCGUAGUCCGGAUCAUGUUUUGUUUAGUUAUGUUCUGUUAGUUUUGGACUCCCUUAGUUCCUGUUCUGUGCACUUUGGGUGUUAGUUUUGGUUACCAUGGAUGAUAAUUGCUUUCACCUGCCUCUGAUUAGUGCUCUGCAUGUUCACCUGCUGUCGAGCACCAAUCAGAGAACUAUUUAUUCACGUUGCUCGCCACAUUGUGUGCGGUAUGCAACUACCAACUUCAGUGUAUUCUGAUUCGGAUUCCUGUUCUUGAUUCCUGUGUGAUCGGCACGUUUUUCUUUUGUUUGUUCUGUCUUUUUGGUACGUGUUUGAUUUAUGAUUAAUAAAUUAUGUCCUACUUCACGCUGUCCGUUCUUAAUUCCGGGAGAACUAUCCUCAACCCAACCCCCGCAUGUGACCGUUCUCAAAACAUUUUUCCCCAAAAUGUUCUCUCAAAAUGUUCUUGUCAAAGAUUUCCGACAAAAAUCUUGCUAAAAAUGUUCAACAAAAAUGUUCUCCAAAUAUUUACACAACAAAACAAAUGGUAGUUUCAAUCAAAAAUGAGCAUUAUUGUCUCGUAAAGGCGGAAUAUUCAGAAUUGUCUACUGCUUGUCCCUUUUGACCUGGAGAAAAAAACAAACUCAUACUUCCAUCCAUUUUCUACCGCUUAUUCCCUUUGGGGUCAUCCCUAAAACAUCUAAAUGUAACGCUUGGCGGGUGAUGCGGGUUCAUUCUUUCAAGGAUGCAGUCGGGCAAUGGACAUAGCGUAGAAGUAAGAAAUAAAGAUUUAUUAAAAAAUAAAACAGACUAAGAAACACAAAAACUUGCACUAGGCACAAAAGGCAAAACAAACUACUAGCAUGGGAGCUAGAGGAAAACAAAGGCAUAGCGCGAAAGCUAGCAAGUGAAAACAUGGGAAUCAGAGUCGUUAAUGUUGCGAAACACAAACUAGGAAGCGAGAAUGAAUGAACAUAAAAGGCAGGCUUAAAUGAGGACGGUGAUUAGCAAAAACAGGUGUGCGUCUGGAAACCGUGGCAGGUGAAAAAUAAUAAGCAACCAUGGUGACAGAACAAACAGGAACUAAGGAAGUCAAACACUAACAGAAUAUGAUACAAAAACGGAACAAACUAGAAUAUGGUAUGAUCCGGGCAGCGGAUCAUAACACUAAAUUUACAUCUGCUGUGACAACUAGAAACACACGAGUCUCCACCAGGGGGCAAUGUAGCGUGCCCAGAUGUAAAACCUCUUUUGCACAAUCAGCCUUUUCAUAUAAAGCCAUAAAGGACCUCACAACAAACUUGAAAAGUCUAACAGAUAACUCUUCAUUUACAAUCGAAGUUAAAAAGUGGCUUUGGAGCAAUCAAAGUUGCUCACACGGUCACUAAGGAGGCCACUAUGAUUGACAGCUCAACUUAAUGUUUAUUAUAUUUAUCCAUGACAGCAGUUUUGUUGUAAAUUGUGAAGUGUGUCUGUUAAAAUCAUGGUUGUUUCUACAAAUGAUGACAGACGUAUAUUAUGUAUAUUAAGUAUGUGUCAAUGAAAGGGCAUUUUAUGACUUUUCUUAAUUUAUGUGCUAUGCUUUGAUUUUAUUGUCAUAAUUUUAUUGCAUGAUUUUUGUAUCCCUUUAAUUUAGGUAGCCAGGGAUUGCAGAUGGAAAUCAGCUAUUUAGCUAUAAUCUGGUGUGUCCCCAAACUAGAUUUGGAGCCAAAGUCGUCUCCAUGGCAGCACUCUUUAUUUGACAUCUGUACUGUAGGGAUUUGACAGUCUAAUGCAACAUGGAGGCAUCUUCCACUCCUUUUAUUGUUUUUGGUCACGCUCUCUGCCAGAGAAACUGUUAAAAUGCACUUCUUUCACCUCCAAGGACCCGGUCACUGCAGUGCUGAGUGACAGAGCUUCAAACAGGACUUUGCCUGUCAAAUCUGGAAGCCCAAAAUUAAUCCGCGGGGAUUUCUUUUUACCAUGUUUCAUACACCUUUGUUGUGAUUGACUUGAAGCAGAAAAAUCCACCAUGAGUCACUUUCACUAAAGACUGAUCAGAUGCAAUAAAACAUAGGAACUGUAAUCUUCUCAAAGAACAUUUUUAUAGAAAGUAAGCUUGAUGUACUGAAGAGUAGUCAAGUUAUCAUGGACGCCCCUGCUUAUUUGUGUGACGCAUUAUGAAGCCUAAGAUACCACAACGGAGACCCUGGACUGUUGAACAACUUAAGCUGUACAUCAAGCAAGAAUGGGAAAUAAUUCCACCUAAAAAGCUUCAGAAAUGUGUCUCUUCAGUUCCCAAACGUUUACAGAGUGUUGUUAAAAGGAAAGGCCAUGUAACACAGUGGUAAAAAGGCCCCUGUGACAACUUUUUUGCAAUGUGUUGCUGCCAUUAAAUUGUAAGUUAAUGAUUAUUUCAAAAAAAUAAUUAAACAAGUUUCUCAGUUCAAACAUUAAA